Molecule: long non-coding RNA, 1014 nt
Filed under: Manihot esculenta (cassava)
Lineage: Eukaryota; Viridiplantae; Streptophyta; Magnoliopsida; Malpighiales; Euphorbiaceae
Description: long non-coding RNA (MESC_LNC010445)
Source: RNAcentral
AUUGGCCAAGAUUAUAAGCUUAAGGACUAAAACAUUAGAUUACGGUCUUAAAGCGUCUCCCCCCAAAAAAAAUCAGCCCAUGAAACUUUAGAAUACUAAGACCUAGAAACCCUUGAACCAAAACCUGUCCUGGAAGCAAAAAUUAUCUGAACGUUGGACUCCUUCCUUGAAGAACCGAUGCUAUAUCCGACGGAAGAAAAACAGAGUCUCACAACAGUAGCUUAGGUCAUACAUCACCGAUUAAAGACGCAAAGGAGAGGAAAACUUUAGUCCGUAACCAAUAACAAAAAAUGAAGUGCAAGAGAAUGACACUAACUACAGUAAACACAUGUAAUGGCAUGAUGGAGUUGAACGGAGCAGAUCAAAUACCAUCGAAAAGAGAAGAAAAAACUUUUGCAAUCAAGUCGAUCUCCAGUAUGGCUCUAGCCAAAACUAAGAGAACCCUAGACAAAAAAUCCAUUGAGAGAGGUGGGAGCACCACAACUUCUCGUUGACAAAGAAAACCUUCAAAUAUGUCUCAACCUCACAUGCAUCAACAGAUCUGGAAGAGAUAAUGGAAGGUGGUUACAAAGAGAGAGGGAGAAUGUAUCAAUCAAAUCACCUGACCAUCGUCACCGGCACAUAAAAGAAAAGAAAAAAACUCCUAAAAGCGCCCGCUGCCAUCACAAAAGUAAAACAAUAUACCGUUUACAUCUCCUUCCGGUGAGGAAAAGGCAAAAGAAAACUCUCAUUGCAGAGAGAGAAACUCAAAAGAGUAAAGUGCAAACUCUCUUGCUUCUUUACAUCCAUUCGCACAAGGUAAAAUGCAAGAAUACAUAGAACUUUUAAAUAAAAUGCGUUUAAGUUGGAGUAGGGUAACGAUAAAUGAAUUACAGAGAACCUAUAAAAUCUCAUAAUAUGGUUUCCCAUUUGCAAUUUUCGGAUUGAAGUAACUUAUGCAUAGUGAACCUUUACGCAUUCAAAAAAUUUCCCAAUGUGGGAAUCCACUAAAAGUUCUUGGCAAUUAAAGCGCUC